AGAGUUUGAUCCUGGCUCAGGAUGAACGCUGGCGGCGUGCCUAACACAUGCAAGUCGAGCGAUUCUCUUCGGAGGAGAGCGGCGGACGGGUGAGUAACGCGUGGGUAACCUGCCCUGUACACACGGAUAACAUACCGAAAGGUAUGCUAAUACGAGAUAAUAUGCUUUUAUCGCAUGGUAGAAGUAUCAAAGCUUUUGCGGUACAGGAUGGACCCGCGUCUGAUUAGCUAGUUGGUAAGGUAACGGCUUACCAAGGCGACGAUCAGUAGCCGACCUGAGAGGGUGAUCGGCCACAUUGGAACUGAGACACGGUCCAAACUCCUACGGGAGGCAGCAGUGGGGAAUAUUGCACAAUGGGCGAAAGCCUGAUGCAGCAACGCCGCGUGAGCGAUGAAGGCCUUCGGGUCGUAAAGCUCUGUCCUCAAGGAAGAUAAUGACGGUACUUGAGGAGGAAGCCCCGGCUAACUACGUGCCAGCAGCCGCGGUAAUACGUAGGGGGCUAGCGUUAUCCGGAAUUACUGGGCGUAAAGGGUGCGUAGGUGGUUUCUUAAGUCAGAGGUGAAAGGCUACGGCUCAACCGUAGUAAGCCUUUGAAACUGGGAAACUUGAGUGCAGGAGAGGAGAGUGGAAUUCCUAGUGUAGCGGUGAAAUGCGUAGAUAUUAGGAGGAACACCAGUUGCGAAGGCGGCUCUCUGGACUGUAACUGACACUGAGGCACGAAAGCGUGGGGAGCAAACAGGAUUAGAUACCCUGGUAGUCCACGCCGUAAACGAUGAGUACUAGCUGUCGGAGGUUACCCCCUUCGGUGGCGCAGCUAACGCAUUAAGUACUCCGCCCUGGGAAGUACGCUUCGCAAGAGUGAAACUCCAAAGGAAUUGACGGGGGACCCGCACAAGUAGCGGAACAUGUGGGUUUAAUUCGAAGCAGCCGCGAAGAACCUUACCUAAGCUUGGAAUCCUUUUUGACCGAUGCCUAAUCCCAUCUUUUCCUCUUGGGGACAAAAAUGACAGGGGGGUGCAGGGGUGUCUCCACCUCCCGCCCGGGAAAAAUUUGGGGUUAAAUUCCCCCACAAAAGGGAAACCCUUGCCCUUUAUUUGCCACCCAUAAAUUUGGGGCUCUUCAAGAGGAUGGCCCGGGAGACCUGGAGGAAAAGGGGGGGGGUGAGGCGGCAAACCACCAUCGCCCCUCUCUUUUAUGGGGUGACCCCCCGCGCACAAAAGGGUGGUUGCAGAGGGGGACCGCAAAUCCUGGAGGCGGGAGGUAACCUCUUAAAGCCAUUCUCAGUUCGGAUUGUAGGCUGAAACUCGCCUACAUGAAGCUGGAGUUACUAGUAAUCGCAGAUCAGAAUGCUGCGGUGAAUGCGUUCCCGGGUCUUGCACACACCGCCCGUC
Molecule: ribosomal RNA, 1391 nt
Filed under: uncultured bacterium
Lineage: Bacteria
Description: partial 16S ribosomal RNA
Rfam family: Bacterial small subunit ribosomal RNA
Source: RNAcentral